This 453-nucleotide ribosomal RNA is filed under the name uncultured Bacteroides sp. RNAcentral's name for it is "partial 16S ribosomal RNA". It matches the Rfam family "Bacterial small subunit ribosomal RNA", at positions 341 to 792 of the family's 1533-position model. The record is from RNAcentral. Lineage: Bacteria; Pseudomonadati; Bacteroidota; Bacteroidia; Bacteroidales; Bacteroidaceae.
ACGGGAGGCAGCAGUGAGGAAUAUUGGUCAAUGGGCGGAAGCCUGAACCAGCCAAGUCGCGUGAAGGAUGAAGGUAUUAUGUAUUGUAAACUUCUUUAGCAGUGGAGUAAUAAGGGGAUCGUGAUCCCUGAUGCAAGUACACUGAAAAUAAGGAUCGGCUAACUCCGUGCCAGCAGCCGCGGUAAUACGGAGGAUCCGAGCGUUAUCCGGAUUUAUUGGGUUUAAAGGGUGCGCAGGCGGCUUUUUAAGUCAGCGGUAAAAUCGUGGGGCUCAACCCCAUCCUGCCGUUGAUACUGGAGAGCUUGAUUGCGGUUGAGGUUGGCGGAAUUCGUCGUGUAGCGGUGAAAUGCAUAGAUAUGACGAAGAACUCCGAUUGCGUAGGCAGCUGACCAAGCCGAAAAUGACGCUCAUGCACGAAAGUGCGGGGAUCGAACAGGACUAGAUACCCUGGUA